GACGAACGCUGGCGGCGUGCUUAACACAUGCAAGUCGAACGGAAAGGCCCUGCUCUUGUGGCGUGCUCGUUUGGCGAACGGGUGAGUAAAACGUGAGUAUACUGCCCUUGACUGUGGGAUAACUCCUGGAAACUGGGGCUCAUACCCGAUAUGAGCUCCUGCUGCAUGGUGGGGGUUGGUAAGAUUCGGCGGUUGUGGCUGGACUCGCGGCUUAUCAGCUUGUUGGGGGGGUAGUUGCUUACCAAGGCUUUGACGGGUAGCCGGCCUUGGAGGGGUAACGGCGACAUUGGGACUGAGAGACGGACCAGACGCCUACGGGAGGCAGCAGGGGGGAAUAUUGCGCAAUGGGCGGACGCCUGAUGCAGCAACGCCGCGUGCGGGAUAACGGCCUUCGGGUUGUAAACCACUUUCGCCUGUGACGAAGAGGGAGUGACGGUAAUUGGUAAAGAAGCACCGGCUAACUACGUG
RNAcentral lists this ribosomal RNA (468 nucleotides) under uncultured bacterium. RNAcentral's name for it is "partial 16S ribosomal RNA". It matches the Rfam family "Bacterial small subunit ribosomal RNA", at positions 28 to 507 of the family's 1533-position model. The record is from RNAcentral.